RNAcentral lists this ribosomal RNA (250 nucleotides) under uncultured bacterium. RNAcentral describes it as "partial 16S ribosomal RNA". It matches the Rfam family "Bacterial small subunit ribosomal RNA", at positions 524 to 773 of the family's 1533-position model. The record is from RNAcentral.
UACGUAGGGUGCAGGCGUUAAUCGGAAUUACUGGGCGUAAAGCGUGCGCAGGCGGCUCCUUAAGUCAGAUGUGAAAUCCCCGGGCUUAACCUGGGAACUGCGUUUGAAACUGGGGAGCUGGAGUGUGGAAGAGGGGGGUGGAAUUCCAUGUGUAGCAGUGAAAUGCGUAGAGAUAUGGAGGAACACCGAUGGCGAAGGCAGCCCCCUGGGCUAACACUGACGCUCAUGCACGAAAGCGUGGGGAGCAAAC